GACGAACGCUGUCGGCGCGCCUAACACAUGCAAGUCGAACGAAGCUAAGGCUGUCAAAUUUUUCGGAAGGAGACAAAAUUAGUUUAGUGGCGGACGGGUGAGUAACGCGUGAGUAACCUGCCUUUCAGAGGGGGAUAACGUUUGGAAACGAACGCUAAUACCGCAUAAGAUAAAGAUACCGCAUGGUAAAGAUAUCAAAGGAGCAAUCCGCUGAGAGAUGGACUCGCGUCCAAUUAGCUAGUUGGUGAGGUAAAGGCCCACCAAGGCGACGAUUGGUAGCCGGACUGAGAGGUUGACCGGCCACAUUGGGACUGAGACACGGCCCAGACUCCUACGGGAGGCAGCAGUGGGGAAUAUUGCACAAUGGGGGAAACCCUGAUGCAGCGACGCCGAGUGAGGGAAGAAGGUUUUCGGAUUGUAAACCUCUGUCUUUGGUGAAGAAAGAAGACGGUAGCCAAAGAGGAAGCUACGGCUAACUACGUGCCAGCCGCCGCAGUAACAC
RNAcentral lists this ribosomal RNA (502 nucleotides) under uncultured bacterium. Its description in RNAcentral is "bacterial SSU rRNA". It matches the Rfam family "Bacterial small subunit ribosomal RNA", at positions 28 to 526 of the family's 1533-position model. The record is from RNAcentral.